Molecule: small nucleolar RNA, 122 nt
Organism: Nannospalax galili (Upper Galilee mountains blind mole rat)
Lineage: Eukaryota; Metazoa; Chordata; Mammalia; Rodentia; Spalacidae
Source: Ensembl
AUUUGUUGAAAAUCACCCCUGGCUUUGGUUGUGGCCAGGACUGAGAUUUUGUGCCCAGAACUACCAGGGGCCUCAGUUAACACCUACUGCCCCAGUGUGGGAGGGUCAAAUCCCCAACAGGC